Molecule: long non-coding RNA, 637 nt
Organism: Salvia splendens (bonfire salvia)
Lineage: Eukaryota; Viridiplantae; Streptophyta; Magnoliopsida; Lamiales; Lamiaceae
Exons: 2
Source: RefSeq, a predicted model, not a curated record
AUUCAGACAUAUGGUUUGCCACGUACUUUUUAUUGACAGUAACCUAAACUUUAAUAAUUCCAUACCUAAUAUCAAAAAAUUUGGCAUACUUUUUUGUGAUAUAUAAACUUACAAAUAAUCCAUCUCACCUGUUGUCAUCUUUAUUAACUCUAAACAAAAAUCUAAUUCAUUUUUUCCUUCACCACUGAUAUAAAUUAUAAUGAGUUGUUUUAGAAUUGUUAUGAACUCGAAGAUUAAGUAGUAUGGCUAAAAGGUCCAAAUUUACCUGAAUUUGCAUUUAUGAAAGUUGGAUCAAAAAUAAGUGUCUGUUAUGAACCCAUCUAUUCCACCAGUGAUGGAGGUGCCACCGAGCGAGGAGACGGCAGAGCCUACCCCGGAAACACUAUCGGGUGAGUCGGUUUCGACAUCAACGGAGGAACGUGGAACGGAGGAACGUGGAGAACAGGUGAAGGAGGUUAGGGAGAAGACGGAGAAGAGACAGUUAAGGCCACGGAAGGGACUCAAGCAGCCUGAUCGCUUUCAAGACUUCGUGACGAAGUAGCACACCAGCUGCUCGAGGAAAGGCCAGAACCAGUUUACUGUUUUAUCCCUUUUAUUAGACUUUCGUAUUUUAUUGUAAUUUCCCAUUUAUUUUUUG